AGGGCACCACCAGGAGUGGAGCCUGCGGCUUAAUUUGACUCAACACGGGGAAACUUACCCGGCCUGGACACUGGAAGGAUUGACAGAUUGAGAGCUCUUUCUUGAUUCGGUGGGUGGUGGUGCAUGGCCGUCCUUAGUUGGUGGAGCGAUUUGUCUGGUUAAUUCCGAUAACGAACGAGACUCUAGCCUAUUAAAUAGGCUCCCGGCUUUUAAACGCCGGGAGGACUUCUUAGAGGGACAGGUGGCGGUUCAGCCGCACGAAAGAGAGCAAUAACAGGUCUGUGAUGCCCUUUGUUGUCCGGGGCCGCACGCGCGCUACACUGAAGAGAUCAGCGUGCUUUAUGUUCCUGCUCCGACCGGAGUGGGGAACCCAGUGAACCUUCUUCGUGAUUGGGAUAGAAGAUUGUAAUUAUUCUUCUUGAACGAGGAAUUCCCAGUAAAUGCGAGUCAUAAGCUCGCGUUGAUUACGUCCCUGCCCUUUGUACACACCGCCCGUCGCUACUACCGAUUGAACGAUUU
This 519-nucleotide ribosomal RNA is filed under the name uncultured eukaryote. Its description in RNAcentral is "SSU rRNA". It matches the Rfam family "Eukaryotic small subunit ribosomal RNA", at positions 1161 to 1699 of the family's 1831-position model. The record is from RNAcentral.